Long non-coding RNA from Oncorhynchus gorbuscha (pink salmon), 2220 nucleotides. RefSeq lists it as uncharacterized. The record is from RefSeq and is a predicted model, not a curated record. Lineage: Eukaryota; Metazoa; Chordata; Actinopteri; Salmoniformes; Salmonidae. The transcript has 3 exons.
AAUGAAAUACUAUAAUAAACCUAAUAAUAUGCUAAUAUAGCCAACAAUUAAAACAACACUCAAUAUGUGAUAAGACACAUUAUAAAAUAUUAUGGUAAAUUAAUAUACAUGUUGGUGCCAUAUUCAAUUUAACAAGCCAUAAUAGGCACAAGCCAUAAUCUACCCACACCCAAAACAGAAUAGUGGUGCAGGGGGUGCUGGAGGCGAAAUGCAAAACUGGAGAAAGUCUCAGUGCACCUUCAGUCAGAUGCAAAUGUAUUUUAUUUACCAACUGUUGAAAAGUGUCUGAGAAGCUUUUUCAUGAAUAUCUGGAAGUAAAUCUAAGUGGUCCGUCAGUUCCAUAAAUUCCAUCUCCAGACAGUGGCAUAUAUAUGAUAAUAUUCACCCAUUGAAUUACUGCCCUGAUUUAUCAGCAUGAUUCUGUGUCCCAAAUGGUAUCUUAGGUGGGGUCCAGUAGGGGCUGGUGGAGGCCUGUAGGGGCUUGUUGGUGCUGGUGGAGUGUGGUAGGGGUCUAUGGGGGCCUGUAGGGGCCAAAACCAGACUUCACUGACUGAUAGCAGUAAAGAACCCACUACCAUAGUGUAGAGAAAACAUCUCAGAGGAAAUUAAACAAAAUAUGUUGUGGAGAGUGGACUCGUGCUGCUGGGCACGUUGUGGUGAGGGACAGAGCAGUGCAGACCGAUGAGGGAGGCUAAGAAAACAUGCCUCUUUAUUUACUGCUGUUGUUUUCAGAGUAGAGCUCGCUGUCAAUCCCGUUCUCUUGGGCCUCUCUCUAAGAGGUCUGGUCCAGUAUGCUACUGUAUUAGUUACCUCUUAUAACCCACAAUAAACCAAAAAGCACUUAAAUUCCAUAUACAUGCAUUGGCUUGGGACAGUUGUGAAGGCAUGCACUAAACCAAAUGAUACAGAUCUUCCUUAGAAAGUAUGUAGAGCACCUGAAUUGUGAAUGAGUUUGUACUUAUCCGUAGUGUUUUUAAAAAAAAUCAAAUUGAAUGCUAUUUGGUGGAAACCAGUUCAAAGUAGAGUGACCCAAAGAUGAAAAAUGACUGUAGCUGGUACUGUACAUUGAGAAAGUUUGAUCAUAAAGUUACUUAUACCCUCCCCCCCGUGUCAAAGACUUGGAUUUAGGAGGCAAGCAUUGUCAAGGAUUUACUUCCGGCUUUAUGCAACAUCACAUAAAGACGGAAAUUGAAUACGGCAAUGGUAGCAUCUUAUCUGAACUCAUUUAAAUAUGUACCACCUUAAAACCAUCAUCUCUUGUGCCCCUACCCCUUGCUUUGGCUUUGUUUACAAACCUUAAGCUAGCUACUAGUAGCUAGCUCAAGCAGAAGGUACGACCAAAGAUACUGCUAACCUUUCAUCUGUGGUAUUACUGUUAGCUACAGUAGCAAGCUACUUAUCAACAUGCCGGCAAAAGCACACUGUGUCGUAACUAGUGUAAAAUGAACCUUACAUAGUGUAACAUUAACCUUAAACUAUUUCCCAAAGAGUGAAGACAUCCAACAGCAGUGGUUGCUUUUCAUUUCUUAGCUAGUUUACGGUGGACGAGAUGACUGAAAAUUACGUCAUGGCACGCGUGUGCAGUGCACAUUUCAAGUGAAGUUGCUUUAUCAAUUUGGGGAGAACAUUCGAUGGGUCUUGCCAGGAAGCUAAUCCUGAAGACGGAUGCAUCAUUGACAGUGGAUCUGGCAAGCACGGACCAUAAUCUUCCCAGGCAACUGCAGCAGGAAGGAUGUGAUACAAAAUAAUCUUUCCCAAGGCAAAGAAGGGGGGAAAGGCUGUGAAGCCUGUGAAGACAGACCCAAUAUACUGCUAUGUUGACAGGCUCCUGGAUCUCCUCUUCAACGAGAUCACCCUUGAUAAAAACACAACAAAACACUCUCGCCUACGGCCGGUUGUGAUACAGCCCGGGAUCGAACCAGGGUCUGUAAUGAUGCCUCUAGCACUGCAAACCACUGCGCCACUCGGAAUUUGCUUUAUUUAGUGUUUUUAUUCAAGCAUUCAGACAGGAGAUGAGUGUUACAAAUUGUAUAAAUAAAUGGGUCCUGGGACACUAUUGCGGCCGGGUGACAAUAUUAGGCUUAUGGCUGAAGUUUUGUAUUUUUAUGUCAAAUUAUUUCUCACCUUUAUUUCUCAUGAUUGUUCAUGUUGCUCAAUAUUUUGGCCAUGCUGGCCUAUCGUAAAAUAUUGAAAUAAAUGUCUGAUCAAUAUACUCAAUUA